UUGGAUGUUGGAAUUUAGACUCGGAAUUCAGAAUUGGAAUUGACAAACCCGAAUUCUGGUGUUUGGAUGGUCACAGUAUUUGGAAUUGGAAAUCCACCAAAUUCCGGCCGGUAUUCAACUCUACACACGCCUCCACUCUCCAAUUCCGACCCUCCACCCUCUGAUUUGCUCGGAAUUGAACUGGAUUUGGUAUUGGAUCCGAUUUCCAAAGCCAGGCUGAUUUGGUAUUGGAUCCAAUUCAAUUCCACCGUCUUCAAUUCCAACAUCCAAACGGAGCAUUAACUUAUUUUGCACGGUCUGCUGGUCACUACCUAAACAUGUCCUCUCCAUGCUUUCUGGGACUCUCCGUUCUACCCUUCCACUGCUCGGCGCUCGCACACCAGGUUCCAUAACACCGACCAGAUGUUCCGUGUCCGUAUGAUCGUAUUCGUAUCACACGCAACGAUGAACCAGACUCCGCGACAUCGGUUUUGCUAACGGCACUCUAGCCGCUCUCUCGCUGCAGUUCCGUGCCGCGGAGGCUCACAACACGUUUGAAGAAAUGCGCAGGAGCCAUGGGGUCAUCGUCCCAGUGGUGAUGGGUCAUGAUUCUUGCGGUAACCUGGCUCACUCAGGCUCUUCAUCGGUGACGCUCGUGCGAUCCCGGCAAUUUGCAACGGCCGUGGCCUCGUCACUGUCGCCGCCUGUCAGUCGAAGCACUCCUCGCCGCCACGCGCGCGGAGGGGAGCCCGCGCGGAUAUUUGGGUUAAAUAGCACCUCAUACGGCGGGUUUAUCAAGAUAGCGGAAGCUCCAUCGCGAGGUCGAGGCAGAUGGGGUGCGCCGAGGGGUUGAUGCCUUGAGGGGCUGAUUGAUUGAUUCAGAUUGAAGUUGUGGGAAUCAACGAUGGGUAGAGUGCGAUGGAUGUCUAGUCCAUGGACAGUGUGAUAGUCCGGAUGAGUAAAGGUGGGCGCCAGAGUCCUGUGGAGGAAACAUUGAACAUGUGUUGAGGGAUGAAGGUAAUAAUGUAUUGGACAAGUCUGAUUUCCUGCACGUUGAUCCCAAUGUAUGUCAAGGUUUCUCAAUCAUGUGUUUUUCUGAAAAUAAUGUAAUAUGCCUUAUUUUGUUACGGGGCAUGUAAUCGUUACAUUCUUUUCAAGUCUAUUUGAGUGAGGAAGUUUGUUA
Zea mays is the source of this 1162-nucleotide long non-coding RNA. RefSeq lists it as uncharacterized. NCBI's taxonomy places the organism in Eukaryota, Viridiplantae, Streptophyta, Magnoliopsida, Poales, Poaceae. The record is from RefSeq and is a predicted model, not a curated record. The transcript is spliced from 2 exons.